UAACGCGAAGAACCUUACCUGGUCUUGACAUCCCCCUGACCGCUCUUUAAUCGGAGCUUUCCUUCGGGACAGGGGAGACAGGUGGUGCAUGGUUGUCGUCAGCUCGUGUCGUGAGAUGUUGGGUUAAGUCCCGCAACGAGCGCAACCCCUAUCUUCAGUAGCCAGCGGCAAGGCCGGGCACUCUGGAGAGACUGCCAGGGACAACCUGGAGGAAGGUGGGGAUGACGUCAAAUCAUCAUGCCCCUUAUGACCAGGGCUACACACGUGCUACAAUGGCGUAAACAAAGGGAAGCGAAGGAGUGAUUUGGAGCGAAUCCCAAAAAUAACGUCUCAGUUCGGAUUGUAGUCUGCAACCCGACUACAUGAAGCUGGAAUCGCUAGUAAUCGCGGAUCAGAAUACCGCGGUGAAUACGUUCCUGGGUCUUGUACACACGCA
RNAcentral lists this ribosomal RNA (436 nucleotides) under uncultured Lachnospiraceae bacterium. RNAcentral's name for it is "bacterial SSU rRNA". It matches the Rfam family "Bacterial small subunit ribosomal RNA", at positions 957 to 1394 of the family's 1533-position model. The record is from RNAcentral. Lineage: Bacteria; Bacillati; Bacillota; Clostridia; Lachnospirales; Lachnospiraceae.